Molecule: RNase P RNA, 414 nt
Filed under: Natronomonas sp. CBA1123
Lineage: Archaea; Methanobacteriati; Methanobacteriota; Halobacteria; Halobacteriales; Natronomonadaceae
Description: Archaeal RNase P
Rfam family: Archaeal RNase P
About the family: Ribonuclease P (RNase P) is a ubiquitous endoribonuclease, found in archaea, bacteria and eukarya as well as chloroplasts and mitochondria. Its best characterised activity is the generation of mature 5'-ends of tRNAs by cleaving the 5'-leader elements of precursor-tRNAs.
Source: Rfam by way of RNAcentral
GGCAGAGGAAGCCCGGUCCCCGUGGGUUCGCUCCCGGCGUUUCGCGUCGGCGACGCGCCCAUGACGGAAAGUCCCCCCACCCUCCGGGCAGGUGACCGGGCGCAAGCCCGGAGCGGGAGACCGCUGGCACUGGAACAGAAACGAGACCGCUUCCGCCGAGCGAUGAGGCGCGAGGGCCGCCGACGGCGGCCCUCGGCGCUUGCGGCCCUGCCGCAAGCGCGCGAACCGACCCGCAAGGGAAGGGAGUUAACCCGCCGAGCGCGCGUGGUCGUUAGACCGCGAGGAGACGCGGAAGAACGGAUGGAACGGCGAAUCCUCACCGGUGCAAGCCCGUCGCACUUGGUAGCCCGGAGACGCGACGGGUGCUCAGCCGAAUGCCGGGUGAAAACAGAAGGGGGCUUACUACCCUCAGCC